Molecule: ribosomal RNA, 446 nt
Filed under: uncultured bacterium
Lineage: Bacteria
Description: bacterial SSU rRNA
Rfam family: Bacterial small subunit ribosomal RNA
Source: RNAcentral
GAUCCUGGCUCAGAACGAACGCUGGCGGCAUGCCUAACACAUGCAAGUCGAACGAGACCUUCGGGUCUAGUGGCGCACGGGUGCGUAACGCGUGGGAAUCUGCCCCUUGGUUCGGAAUAACAGCGAGAAAUUGCUGCUAAUACCGGAUAAUGACGUAAGUCCAAAGAUUUAUCGCCAAGGGAUGAGCCCGCGUAGGAUUAGCUAGUUGGUGUGGUAAAGGCGCACCAAGGCGACGAUCCUUAGCUGGUCUGAGAGGAUGAUCAGCCACACUGGGACUGAGACACGGCCCAGACUCCUACGGGAGGCAGCAGUGGGGAAUAUUGGACAAUGGGCGAAAGCCUGAUCCAGCAAUGCCGCGUGAGUGAUGAAGGCCUUAGGGUUGUAAAGCUCUUUUACCCGGGAUGAUAAUGACAGUACCGGGAGAAUAAGCUCCGGCUAACUCCGUG